Molecule: microRNA, 25 nt
Filed under: Equus caballus (horse)
Lineage: Eukaryota; Metazoa; Chordata; Mammalia; Perissodactyla; Equidae
Description: eca-miR-9065
Source: miRBase by way of RNAcentral
UGGGACUGAGCCUGUAGGGGCCAGC